AUACGGAGGAUGCAAGCGUUAUCCGGAUUUAUUGGGUUUAAAGGGUGCGUAGGCGGUUUGCUAAGCGGGAGGUGAAAUGCCGGCGCUCAACGUCGGAAGUGCCUCCCGAACUGGUGGACUUGAAUGACUCUGCCGUGGGAGGAAUGUGUAGUGUAGCGGUGAAAUGCUUAGGGAUUACACAGAACACCGAUUGCGAAGGCAUCUCACGAAGGGUUGAUUGACGCUGAGGCACGAAAGCGUGGGGAUCAAACAGGAUUAGAUACCCUGGUAGUCCACGCAGUAAACGAUGAUGGCUAACCGCUGGGCUUAUCAGUUCAGUGGCCAAGCGAAAGCGAUAAGCCAUCCACCUGGGGAGUACGACCGCAAGGUUGAAACUCAAAGGAAUUGACGGGG
Molecule: ribosomal RNA, 393 nt
Filed under: uncultured bacterium
Lineage: Bacteria
Description: partial 16S ribosomal RNA
Rfam family: Bacterial small subunit ribosomal RNA
Source: RNAcentral